GUAGGUGGCAAGCGUUGUCCGGGAAUUAUUGGGGCGUAAAGCGCGCGCAGGCGGUUCUUCAAGGUCUGAUGUGAAAGCCCACGGGCUCAACCGUGGAGGGUCAUUGGAAACUGGAGAACUUGAGUACAGAAGAGGAAAGCGGAAUUCCACGUGUAGCGGUGAAAUGCGUAGAGAUGUGGAGGGACACCAGUGGCGAAGGCGGCUUUCUGGUCUGUAACUGACGCUGAGGCGCGAAAGCGUGGGGAGCAAACAGGAUUAGAUACCCUGGUAGUCCACGCCGUAAACGAUGAGUGCUAAGUGUUAGGGGGUUUCCGCCCCUUAGUGCUGCAGCUAACGCAUUAAGCACUCCGCCUGGGGAGUACGACCGCAAAGGUUGA
Molecule: ribosomal RNA, 377 nt
Filed under: uncultured organism
Description: partial 16S ribosomal RNA
Rfam family: Bacterial small subunit ribosomal RNA
Source: RNAcentral